RNAcentral lists this ribosomal RNA (253 nucleotides) under uncultured bacterium. RNAcentral describes it as "partial 16S ribosomal RNA". It matches the Rfam family "Bacterial small subunit ribosomal RNA", at positions 524 to 776 of the family's 1533-position model. The record is from RNAcentral.
UACGUAGGUGGCAAGCGUUGUCCGGAUUUACUGGGCGUAAAGGGAGCGCAGGCGGCCGAUUAAGUUGGAUGUGAAAUCCCCGGGCUUAACUUGGGUGGUGCAUCCAAUACUGGUUGGCUAGAGUACAGGAGAGGAAAGCGGAAUUCCUGGUGUAGCGGUGAAAUGCAUAGAUAUUGGGAGGAACACCGGUGGCGAAGGCGGCUUUCUGGCCCUAUACUGACGCUGAGGCAUGAAAGCGUGGGGAGCAAACAGG